GGGGCUAGCUCAGUGGUAGAGCACUUGCCCAGGAAGCAUGGGGUUCUGGGUUCAAUCCCCAGUACCUCCA
This 70-nucleotide transfer RNA is filed under the name Camelus bactrianus (Bactrian camel). It matches the Rfam family "tRNA". Rfam says of the family: Transfer RNA (tRNA) molecules are approximately 80 nucleotides in length. Their secondary structure includes four short double-helical elements and three loops (D, anti-codon, and T loops). The record is from Rfam by way of RNAcentral. Lineage: Eukaryota; Metazoa; Chordata; Mammalia; Artiodactyla; Camelidae. RNAcentral also lists the same sequence under 2 other names.